RNAcentral lists this ribosomal RNA (327 nucleotides) under Triticum aestivum (bread wheat). RNAcentral's name for it is "partial small subunit ribosomal RNA". The record is from RNAcentral. Lineage: Eukaryota; Viridiplantae; Streptophyta; Magnoliopsida; Poales; Poaceae.
AUGAAUCCUAACUUCCGUGCUACUCAUCCAUGUGCAGAGGGGAAUAGCAGGUUAUGCAUCUCCGUGAGAGACUGCUACUGUUACAUGCUGCAAACAUGACCUACGAUAUUCAAUCCCAUACUCUGUGGAGCACGAUUGCUCCAGCAAUGGGGGGUGGACAUGUACAUCCAGAUUGAGAGUUGUAGGUUGAAAUGGUACAGGAAGAACCUGGCAAAGAUCCGUGUGAACCUGUAUAAAGGAGUUGUUGAUGCAAUUAUCCGGGAGACACGGGCAAGCGCUGUUGGGGUAAGGAUAGUGCUCCCUGGAACGUACCCAGGUGGCGACCGC